ACCGCCGCCCCGCACGCUCCGGUCGCGCUCGGACUUGCCGUCAUGGAUGCUCUGUCGGAGGCAAAUGGCACUUUUGCCUUAACCCUUCUGAAAAAGCUGGGUGAAGACAACUCCAAAAAUGUGUUUUUCUCACCCAUGAGCCUCUCCUCCACGCUGGCCAUGGUCUUUAUGGGGGCAGCAGGCAACACCGCAACUCAGAUGUCCCAGGCACUUUCUCUAAGCAAAAGCAGCAGCAAAGGUGGAGAUGUCCACCAGGGUUUCCAGAACCUUCUCACCGAAGUCAACAGGACUGGCACACAGUACUUGCUCAGAACCGCCAACAGGCUCUUCGGAGAGAAGUCUUACGGUUUCCUCCCAUCUUUCAAAGAUUCCUGCCGCAAAUUCUACCAAGCGGAGAUGGAAGAGCUGGACUUUGUCAACACGACAGAGGAGUCCCGGAAACACAUAAACACCUGGGUAGCCCAGAAGACAGAAGCCACAGCUCCUGCUGUAGCGCAAUGGGAUUGGCAGCAUCUUGGGAGCGCCAGGCUGCUGGUUCCAUCACCGGCCUGACACAGCAGAUUAAGGAUCUGGUGUUGCUGAAGAUACGGCUUAGGUCAUGACUGUGGCUCAGAUCUCAUCCCUGGUCCAGGAGCUCUGUAUGCCAUGGGGUGACCAAAAAAUGGGGGGGGGUAAAUUCUUAAAAUCUGCUUCUGAAAUACUGUCAAUGUAUGACUAUUUUCUCUAGCUUUUUCACGUUGUUUAUGUUAAUGCAGUCUUCUUUCCACAAACGGUGUAAAGAGCAGUUUGGGUCCAGGUCUCCAGCUGCCUGCCUCCCAGCACUGCUGGCGCUCUCUGGUCACCGGGCCUCACUGUGGACACUCGGUUAAGCCCUCAUCCACUUGCAGUUCUUGGCGUCCAUGCUUCCCGCGUUUAAUGCUGCAUCCUCUCACCUUUGGGAGACCAUCUCCUGAGGUCACGGACACUCAACCUUCUCUUCUGUGAAUUAGCCUGCACAUCUUACUUUGUUCAUCUUAUACGUUUUAUGCAACUGAUGGUAUUCUUCUGACUAGAGCGCUUUUUUUAAAAUUUUUUAUUUUUAGGGCCACAUCCGCAGCAUAUGGAAGUUCCCAGGGUAGGGGUUAAAUCAGAGCUGCAGCCGCUGGCUUAUGCCACAGCCACAGCAAUGCCAGAUCUGAGCCGUGUCUGUGACCUACACCACAGCUCAUGGCCAUGCUGGAUCCUUAACCCAAUGAGCGGGGCCAGGGAUUGAACCCACAUCUUCAUGGAUGCUAGUUAGGUUCGUUACUGCUGAGCCACAGGGGAACUCUCUGGCCAGAGCUUUUAAAAUCUGGUUGCUGCCCUUGUUUCAGGGACUAGUCUCCUUGUACAGGGUUAUGUCUGGACAUCAGAUUCCUUCACUGUGCCCUUGACUCCUGAGGGAUAUGGCCCAGUGAAUACUGUCCCCAGUGCACCCAUCAGGAAAUCCUUUCAGCCAAGUGGUCCUUUAAUUCUUCUUUUCAGGUAAAAUUACAGACUUGCUGUCUCCUGAUUCAGUCAACUCCAUGACUCGUCUAGUUCUCGUGAACGCCAUCUACUUCAAAGGAAACUGGGAUAAUCAGUUUAACAAAGAGCACACCAAGGAAAGGCCGUUUAAAGUCAGCAAGAAUGUGAAGAAACCUGUGCAAAUGAUGUUUAAGAAGUCUACCUUUAAAAUUACCUACAUAGGAGAAAUAUUCACCCAAAUUCUGCUGCUUCCCUAUGUCGGCAAAGAGCUGAACAUGAUCAUCAUGCUGCCGGAUGAAAACACCGAUCUGAAAACGGUGGAGAAGGAACUUACUUACGAGAGGUUCGUCGAGUGGACGAGGCCGGACAUGAUGGAUGCCGAGGAGGUGGAGGUCUUCCUCCCCAGGUUUAAGCUGGAGGAGGACUACGACAUGGAGGGCGUCCUCCGCACACUGGGCGUGACGGACGCCUUCGAGGCGGCCAGGGCAGACUUCUCUGGAAUGUCAUCCCAGAGAGACCUGUACCUGUCCAAGGUCGUGCACAAGUCCUUUGUGGAGGUCAACGAGGAGGGCACGGAGGCAGCGGCUGCCACCGCCGCCAUCAUGAUGAUGCGCUGCGUCAGAAUCAGCCCCAGGUUCUGUGCCGACCACCCUUUCCUUUUCUUUAUCCAGCACAGCAAAACCGGCGGGGUUCUGUUCUGUGGCCGGUUCUGCUCCCCGUAAGGAAGUGCUGGGCUCUGCUGGCAGCCCCUCUAUCUCCCACCGACCUUUUCCUUGACACUCUGAUGUGUCUGUAACCCAAAGUGACCUUUGGCGACAGUCCAAAAAUAAAGGGCCUGAUCGUGAAACCCCA
Sus scrofa (pig) is the source of this 2337-nucleotide non-coding RNA. The record is from RefSeq and is a predicted model, not a curated record. Lineage: Eukaryota; Metazoa; Chordata; Mammalia; Artiodactyla; Suidae.